GAGUUUGAUCGUGGCUCAGAUUGAACGCUGGCGGCAUGCCUUACACAUGCAAGUCGAACGGCAGCACGGGAGCUUGCUCCUGGUGGCGAGUGGCGAACGGGUGAGUAAUGCAUCGGAACGUAUCCUGGAGUGGGGGAUAACGUAGCGAAAGUUACGCUAAUACCGCAUAUUCUGUGAGCAGGAAAGCGGGGGACCUUCGGGCCUCGCGCUCUUGGAGCGGCCGAUGUCGGAUUAGCUAGUUGGUGAGGUAAAGGCUCACCAAGGCGACGAUCCGUAGCAGGUCUGAGAGGAUGAUCUGCCACACUGGAACUGAGACACGGUCCAGACUCCUACGGGAGGCAGCAGUGGGAAUUUUGGACAAUGGGGGCAACCCUGAUCCAGCCAUGCCGCGUGAGUGAAGGAGGCC
This 406-nucleotide ribosomal RNA is filed under the name bacterium enrichment culture clone ALO1_GLFRUDD03GM4W5. RNAcentral describes it as "bacterial SSU rRNA". It matches the Rfam family "Bacterial small subunit ribosomal RNA", at positions 9 to 416 of the family's 1533-position model. The record is from RNAcentral.